This 468-nucleotide ribosomal RNA is filed under the name uncultured bacterium. RNAcentral describes it as "partial 16S ribosomal RNA". It matches the Rfam family "Bacterial small subunit ribosomal RNA", at positions 28 to 507 of the family's 1533-position model. The record is from RNAcentral.
GACGAACGCUGGCGGCGUGCUUAACACAUGCAAGUCGAACGGACAGGCCCUGCUUUUGUUGGGUGCUCGAGUGGCGAACGGGUGAGUAACACGUGAGUAACCUGCCCUUGACUUUGGGAUAACUUCAGGAAACUGGGGCUCAUACCGGAUAUGAGCUCCUGCUGCAUGGUGUGGGUUGGAAAGUUUCGGCGGUUGGGGAUGGACUCGCGGCUUAUCAGCUUGUUGGUGGGGUAGUGGCUUACCAAGGCUUUGACGGGUAGCCGGCCUGAGAGGGUGACCGGCCACAUGGGGACUGAGAGACGGCCCAGAAUCCUACGGGACGCAGCAGUGGGGAAUAUUGCACAAUGGGCGGAAGCCUGAUGCAGAAACGCCGCGUGCGGGAUAACGGCCUUCGAGUGGUAAACCGAUUUCGAAGGUGACGAAGAGUGAGUGACGGUAAUGGGUAAAGAAGCAACGGCUAACUACGUG